GACAGAGGUGCUAAGCGUUAGGCGGAAUCACUGGGCUUAAAGCGUGUGUAGGCGGGCGGGCAAGUACCUUGUGAAAUCCCACGGCUCAACCGUGGAACGGCUGGGUAUACUGCCUGUCUUGAGCCAGCUAGGGGCGACCGGAACAGACGGUGGAGCGGUGAAAUGCGUAGAUAUCGUCUGGAACGCCAAAGGUGAAAACAGGUCGCUGGGGCUGAGCUGACGCUGAGACACGAAAGCCAGGGGAGCGAACGGG
Molecule: ribosomal RNA, 253 nt
Filed under: uncultured bacterium
Lineage: Bacteria
Description: partial 16S ribosomal RNA
Rfam family: Bacterial small subunit ribosomal RNA
Source: RNAcentral